RNAcentral lists this ribosomal RNA (750 nucleotides) under Nocardia uniformis. RNAcentral's name for it is "bacterial SSU rRNA". It matches the Rfam family "Bacterial small subunit ribosomal RNA", at positions 101 to 863 of the family's 1533-position model. The record is from RNAcentral. Lineage: Bacteria; Bacillati; Actinomycetota; Actinomycetes; Mycobacteriales; Nocardiaceae.
AACGGGUGAGUAACACGUGGGUGAUCUACCUCGCACUCUGGGAUAAGCCUGGGAAACUGGGUCUAAUACCGGAUACGACCAGUCCUCGCAUGGGGGUUGGUGGAAAGGUUUACUGGUGCGAGAUGGGCCCGCGGCCUAUCAGCUUGUUGGUGGGGUAACGGCCUACCAAGGCGACGACGGGUAGCCGACCUGAGAGGGUGACCGGCCACACUGGGACUGAGACACGGCCCAGACUCCUACGGGAGGCAGCAGUGGGGAAUAUUGCACAAUGGGCGAAAGCCUGAUGCAGCGACGCCGCGUGAGGGAUGACGGCCUUCGGGUUGUAAACCUCUUUCGACAGGGACGAAGCGCAAGUGACGGUACCUGUAGAAGAAGCACCGGCUAACUACGUGCCAGCAGCCGCGGUAAUACGUAGGGUGCGAGCGUUGUCCGGAAUUACUGGGCGUAAAGAGCUUGUAGGCGGUUCGUCGCGUCGGUCGUGAAAACGUGCAGCUCAACUGUGCGCCUGCGGUCGAUACGGGCGGACUAGAGUACUUCAGGGGAGACUGGAAUUCCUGGUGUAGCGGUGAAAUGCGCAGAUAUCAGGAGGAACACCGGUGGCGAAGGCGGGUCUCUGGGAAGUAACUGACGCUGAGAAGCGAAAGCAUGGGUAGCGAACAGGAUUAGAUACCCUGGUAGUCCAUGCCGUAAACGGUGGGUACUAGGUGUGGGUUUCCUUCCACGGGAUCCGUGCCGUAGCUAACGCAUUAA